RNAcentral lists this ribosomal RNA (1411 nucleotides) under uncultured crenarchaeote. RNAcentral describes it as "bacterial SSU rRNA". It matches the Rfam family "Archaeal small subunit ribosomal RNA". The record is from RNAcentral. Lineage: Archaea; Thermoproteati; Thermoproteota.
GGACCCGACUGCUAUCGGGGUGAGACUAAGCCAUGCGAGUCGUACGCCCUUCGGGAAUGGGAAGGGCGUGGCGCACGGCUCAGUAAUACGCAGUCAACCUGCCCUCAGGACGCGCAUAACCUCGGGAAACUGAGGCUAAUGCGCGAUAGGCUAAAGCGCCUGGAAGGGGCUUUAGCCGAAAGGGCCUGGCGACCAUCCUUCGCCAGACCGCCUGAGGAUGGGACUGCGGCCGAUCAGGUAGUUGGUGGGGUAAAGGCCCACCAAGCCUAUAACCGGUACGGGCUCUGAGAGGAGGAGCCCGGAGAUGGGCCCUGAGACAAGGGCCCAGGCCCUACGGGGCGCAGCAGGCGCGAAACCUGCGCAAUGGGCGAAAGCCCGACGCGGUCACCCCGAGUGCCUCCCGGGGAGGGAGGCCUUUCCCGGCUCUAAAAGGGCCGGGGAAUAAGGGGAGGGCAAGCCUGGUGUCAGCCGCCGCGGUAAUACCAGCCCCCCGAGUGGUCAGGACGAUUAUUGGGUCUAAAGCAUCCGUAGCCGGCCCCGUAAGUCCUUCGUUAAAUCCAACGGCUCAACCGUUGGGCUGCGGGGGAUACUGCGGGGCUAGGGGGCGGGAGAGGCCACCGGUAUUCCCGGGGUAGGGGUAAAAUCCUCUGAUCCCGGGAGGACCACCAGUGGCGAAGGCGGGUGGCCAGAACGCGCCCGACGGUAGGGAUAAAGCUGGGGGAGCGAACCGNNUUAAAUCCCCGGGUAGCCCCANCCGUAAACGAUGCGGGCUAGGCUUUGGGCCAACCACGCGUUGGUCCAGGGCCGCAGGGAAGCCGUUAAGCCCGCCACCUGGGGAGUACGGCCGCAAGGCUGAAACUUAAAGGAAUUGGCGGGGGGGCACCACAAGGCGUGAAGCCUGCGGUUCAAUUGGAGUCAGCGCCGGGAAUCUUACCGGGGGAGACAGCAGAAUGAAGGUCAGGCUGAAGACCUUACCAGAGUAAAGCGAGCUGAGAGGUGGUGCAUGGCCGUCGCCAGACGCGCCAGCGCCUUGUAAAGGUGUGAUGGCGCCUGGUGCGGGCGAACUCGUGCCGUGAGGUGUCCUGUUAAGUCAGGCAACGAGCGAGACCCGCGCCCUUAGUUGCCCUCCCUUGCGAAAGCAAGAGAGGGGAAACUAAGGGGACUGCCGCCGCUAAGGCGGAGGAAGGAGCGGGCUACGGCAGGUCAGUAUGCCCCGAAACCCCCGGGCCACACGCGGGCUGCAAUGGUGGGGACAAUGGGUUCCGACCCCGAAAGGGGGAGGUAAUCCCAAAGCCCCACCCCAGUUGUGAUUGAGGGCUGAAACUCGCCCUCAUGAACCUGGAAUGCCUAGUAACCGCGCGUUAUCAUCGCGCGGUGAAUACGUCCCUGCCCCUUGCACACACCGCCCGUC